This 1068-nucleotide long non-coding RNA is filed under the name Triticum aestivum (bread wheat). RNAcentral describes it as "long non-coding RNA (TAES_LNC024268)". Lineage: Eukaryota; Viridiplantae; Streptophyta; Magnoliopsida; Poales; Poaceae. The record is from RNAcentral.
AAGAGGUGAAGAAACAUAUUGAAGUUGAGCAGAUGGGGAAACAAGUUGUCAUGAGUGCUGCUUAAAUAUAGUAGGAAACAAGGAAAACAUAGUACAACACAGGACAAGAUUAGACAUGGUGGAGAAUGGAGAACGCGACAGGUACCCUUGCCGUUGGGGAACAACUGAAAUGGUAACCACAAUUUUUUUGAGUGAAACAUCCUGACUGACAAUGACCAUAAGACCUUGGCCCCUGCCAGCAAACAACCAUAAAGUGGUCAGGUUCUAUCAGCAUCAAGGAAACGGAGAAACCUGUACAACAGCUAACAAACAUAAGACCUUUUUUUUGUACAGCAACAUAUGACCUUCAGUGAUCCCCUGCCACCAGUCUUUGGAACCCUCGGAGCUCUGCAACAAGUACUACGAUUUCUCGGUCACAUCAAAUUACCUUCAACCUUUGCUAGUGGUAACUAGCAAAGAUCAUAAUCAGGGAAUUACAUCAUUGGUGGAGCUUCAAAUUUCGCGAUGCCAACUAUCUUGACACCAGAAUACAUUGCCCUCUCCAGGCUAGCAGCAUGCACUUUCGUCAGUUUAUUAAACUAUAUUCAUAGAAGGGCAUAACUCCUGACAUCCUUUGAAAUUUCAACCCAUCUUAGCAGAACAAUUCAAACAACUAGAAUGGGUCUGUCAUCUAUAUUACACAAACUCGAGGUCCAGGCCUCCGAGUCCUGGUACUCAGCUCAGUGAUUCAAAGCGUCGCAUUCAAUAUUCAGAGAAGUAGAAGUAAACAAAUCUGCCCGAAUCUUCAGAGAAGACACUUUAGAACGGCCCUACCAAAAUUUCUUGAACAAGAACCUUCUUGAGGCUUGGGACUGUAUCUACCAGAAAUUUAGGCUCAAAUAACUAGAGACUAGUAAGGAUAAUCUGAAUAACGAUUUCCUUUACCGACGGAUAGGCUGCGGCCUGCGCUGCGGGGAACGAGCUCGAUCCAUCGAGGCUCCCGCCGACUCGCCGCCGUGUGGGGCACUGGAAGAACGGAGCCAUCCCCGAAAUGCUCACCGUUUGCUGAUGGGGGAUGAGCAAGGGGCC